Molecule: small nucleolar RNA, 107 nt
Organism: Dendrobium catenatum
Lineage: Eukaryota; Viridiplantae; Streptophyta; Magnoliopsida; Asparagales; Orchidaceae
Source: RefSeq, a predicted model, not a curated record
AAAUUAUGGUUUGAGCACUUUUUAAGCAUCUCCAUGAAUCUUUCCCAACUCUCAAAAAUAGAUUCUCCUUCUAACUAAGUAAAAGAAGUAAUAUCAUUUCUAUGUUU